Molecule: transfer RNA, 102 nt
Organism: Sphaerobolus stellatus SS14
Lineage: Eukaryota; Fungi; Basidiomycota; Agaricomycetes; Geastrales; Sphaerobolaceae
Rfam family: tRNA
About the family: Transfer RNA (tRNA) molecules are approximately 80 nucleotides in length. Their secondary structure includes four short double-helical elements and three loops (D, anti-codon, and T loops).
Source: Rfam
GCUUCCUUGGCUCAGUUGGUAGAGCGUUGGUCUCAUAAUUUUCUUUGAGGGUUGAUUCAGCCAAUAAUCCAAAGGUCGCCAGUUCAAGCCUGGCAGGGAGCA